UAGUCAUAUGCUUGUCUCAAAGACUAAGCCAUGCAUGUCUAAGUAUAAACGUUUUGUACAGUGAGACUGCGGAUGGCUCAUUAAAUCAGUUAUAGUUUAUUUGAUGAUCCCUUUACUACUUGGAUAACCGUAGUAAUUCUAGAGCUAAUACAUGCAAAAAGUCCUGACUAUGGUUUCGGCUAUUGGAAAGGAUGUAUUUAUUAGAUUAAAAACCAAUACAGGCCAAAAGCCUGUUCCUUUUGGUGAUUCAUAAUAACUGAACGAAGCGCAUAGUAGC
This 277-nucleotide ribosomal RNA is filed under the name uncultured eukaryote. RNAcentral describes it as "partial 18S ribosomal RNA". It matches the Rfam family "Eukaryotic small subunit ribosomal RNA", at positions 21 to 280 of the family's 1831-position model. The record is from RNAcentral.